This 350-nucleotide long non-coding RNA is filed under the name Mus spicilegus (steppe mouse). RNAcentral's name for it is "lncRNA (ENSMSIG00000001785.1)". Lineage: Eukaryota; Metazoa; Chordata; Mammalia; Rodentia; Muridae. The record is from RNAcentral.
UGACAGUGUCCUUAGUUGCCUGGCUCUCUGCUGCCCCUUGAAGUCAAAGGUCAGAGUAGCAGCAGUUUUCAGCUUCACAUCCUGGUACUACACAGAUACAACCUUACCAAAGCCUUGCAGAAGAUCACCAUGGGUUCUGAAGUAUCCUAAAAAGGGGCUUGAACGCCACUUCGUGUGGCUCAGUGGCAAGCUGCUCUAAGCUGCCAGUGUCCCGCAGAGAAUGAAGAUUUCAUUGGCAAAGCCAAGACAAGGAAGAGGAGACUGACAGCUGGGUGAAGGGAAAGUAACCACCAAGAAAAAAACGCCUGGAAGAGGGUGAUGACCCCCUAAGUGGGAGGUGGGCAGGGAAG